RNAcentral lists this ribosomal RNA (467 nucleotides) under Filifactor alocis. RNAcentral describes it as "bacterial SSU rRNA". It matches the Rfam family "Bacterial small subunit ribosomal RNA", at positions 28 to 491 of the family's 1533-position model. The record is from RNAcentral. Lineage: Bacteria; Bacillati; Bacillota; Clostridia; Peptostreptococcales; Filifactoraceae.
GAUGAACGCUGGCGGCGUGCUUAACACAUGCAAGUCGAACGAACGACUAUUAACAGAACCUUUCGGGGCGAAGAUGAUAGAAGUUAGUGGCGGACGGGUGCGUAACGCGUGGGUAAUCUGCCUUUGUCAAAGGAAUAACUAUUCGAAAGAAUAGCUAAAACCGUAUAACAUAUUAAUAGGGCAUCCUAAUAAUAUCAAAACGAUAGUGGACAAAGAUGAGCCCGCGUCUGAUUAGCUAGUUGGUGAGAUAAAAGCCCACCAAGGCAACGAUCAGUAGCCGACCUGAGAGGGUGAACGGCCACAUUGGAACUGAGACACGGUCCAAACUCCUACGGGAGGCAGCAGUGGGGAAUAUUGCACAAUGGGGGGAACCCUGAUGCAGCAACGCCGCGUGAGUGAAGAAGGCAUUCGUGUCGUAAAACUCUGUAGUAGGGGAAGAAAGAAAUGACAGUACCCUAAAAGAAAGC